GCCUAACACAUGCAAGUCGAACGGAACUUUUUUAAUUGAUUUCUUCGGAAUGAUUUUGAUUAAGUUUAGUGGCGGACGGGUGAGUAACGCGUGAGUAACCUGCCUCUGAGAGGGGAAUAACAUUCUGAAAAGAAUGCUAAUACCGCAUAACAUAUAUUUAUCGCAUGGUAAAUAUAUCAAAGAUUUAUCGCUCAGAGAUGGACUCGCGUCCGAUUAGUUAGUUGGUGAGGUAACGGCUCACCAAGACUACGAUCGGUAGCCGGACUGAGAGGUUGAACGGCCACAUUGGGACUGAGACACGGCCCAGACUCCUACGGGAGGCAGCAGUGGGGGAUAUUGCGCAAUGGGGGCAACCCUGACGCAGCAACGCCGCGUGAAGGAUGAAGGUCUUCGGAUUGUAAACUUCUUUUAUUAAGGACGAAUAAAGUGACGGUACUUAAUGAAUAAGCUCCGGCUAACUACGUGCCAGCAGCCGCCGUAA
Molecule: ribosomal RNA, 481 nt
Filed under: uncultured bacterium
Lineage: Bacteria
Description: partial 16S ribosomal RNA
Rfam family: Bacterial small subunit ribosomal RNA
Source: RNAcentral